Paragonimus kellicotti is the source of this 81-nucleotide non-coding RNA. The record is from the annotation of a GenBank genome assembly. Lineage: Eukaryota; Metazoa; Platyhelminthes; Trematoda; Plagiorchiida; Troglotrematidae.
GGCUUCGUAGCUCAGCUGGUAGAGCGCUUGCUGCAAUUAGGUAUACUACUUCUGCUGCUAGUUGGAAUCAAGUCGAAGCCC